Vigna radiata var. radiata (mung bean) is the source of this 3235-nucleotide RNA transcript. It is a transcript of the gene named probable carboxylesterase 18, with no coding region annotated. The transcript has 5 exons. The record is from RefSeq and is a predicted model, not a curated record. Lineage: Eukaryota; Viridiplantae; Streptophyta; Magnoliopsida; Fabales; Fabaceae.
UGAAGUCUAAUUUAGGGAAGGAGUAUUUAGAUAUUUUGGUGAUUUAACUGAAAUCACCAAAAUAUAAUUUUUCAUAUUUGAAAUGGAAGCUUUUAUUCUCAUAUGGUGAUGGGAUAAAUAACGACCACUUACCUUUUACGACAGAAAGAUGAAAUAAGUGUCGUGUUGGCGAAUGUUGUCGUUGCUCUGCAAUUUUCCCAUCUGAAGCUUUUCUCAUUCUUGGAAACGCAGAAACGACAAUGGCGCUAUCCAAAGGCUCUGAAACGGCAAAACCUAAACCGGUUAUACCAUGGAAGGCACGCAUUUCAAUAUCCUUUAUUUCUACGAUUACCGACGCUGCGCGUCGCUCUAACGGCACCAUCAAUCGCUGUCUAACGAACCUUCUCGAUCUCAAGGCACACGCCAGUUCCUCACCCGUUAACGGUGUUACCUCUAAAGAUGUCACCAUUGACGCCGAAAACAAACUCUGGUUCCGAGUCUUCGCCCCCGCAGUCUCCCCUGCCGCCGGCACCCUCCCUGUCGUCGUCUACUUCCAUGGGGGCGGCUUCGCGUUCCUCUCGCCGGACUCCCUCGGCUACGACGGCGUAUGUCGCCGAAUAUGUCGCCACGUCCCCGCUGUCGUUGUUUCUGUCAACUACCGCCUCACACCGGAGCACCGGUACCCGUCGCAGUACGACGACGGUGAGCUCUUCCUCCACUUCCUCGACGAGAAUUGCAUGGUACUGCCGGAAAACGCUGAUGUGUCAAAAUGUUUCCUUGCCGGCGACAGCGCGGGGGCUAACUUAGCUCACAACGUGGCAGUUCGGGUCGGGAAGAUGGGAAUCGGGGAAAACCGGGAUGGGAAUUCAGGGCUUCGGAGAAUCCGGGUGGUCGGGUUGGUGGCGAUCCAGCCUUUUUUCGGUGGGGAGGAGCGGACGGAGGCUGAGGUGAGGUUUGAAGGUGCGCCGCUGGUGUCAACGGAGAGGAGCGAUUGGAUGUGGAAGGCGUUUUUGCCUGAGGGGUCGGAUCGUGACCACAGAGCAUGCAACGUGAGUGGGCCGAAUUCGGAGGAUUUGUCGGGUUUGGAUUACCCGGAUAGCGUUGUGGUUGUUGGUGGGUUUGAUCCUUUACAAGAUUGGCAAAGGAGGACAAGCCUGCAUCGUCUACACCAACUACGUCAUCCUCAAGUUUCAGUGCUAGUAGUGGGGUAUAGUCUGCGGCAGCUAGAUUAUUGGGAGGAAGCAACGGAAGCCGAGCACUUAGUUUUUUUGGAGGCAACGGUAGUAGCAAGAAUAAUGGAGGGAACAGUAGGAUUGGUUCCAUUGGAGCCUCCAGUACAAGUAGUUCAAUGGCUAAUCCAAAUUUUGAUGGGAAAGGCACUUACCUGAUAUUCAAUGUCGGUGAGGCAAUUUUCAUCAGCAAUUUGAAUUCUCAAAACAAGGCAUGCCUCAAUGCAACCAGAUCCUCAUUGAAAGAAAAAUGGGUUAAGAGGGAGGCUGUUGUUGUGAUCCUGAGGGAGGCACUCAUGAAAGGCAAAUGGCUAUAGUAAUUUAUAAGUAUUUUUCUAAGUGAAGAUCUCAACAAUAUCGUGGAAAUCAAAUCAUUGAAGUUAGAAAAGAUGAGGUUAUCAGACUUAGCUUGUUUCCUUUCUCUUUGGAUGGUAAUGCCAAGAUGUGGCUAAAUUCAUUUCCUGAAAAUAACUUCAUUGUGUGGGAAGAUGUGGUGGCCAAGUUUCUUAAUAAGUACUUUCCUCACUCCAAGAUAAAAAAAAGGAAGUAGAAAAUCUCUUCUUUCUAACAGGGUAUGGAUGAAACUUUAGGCCAAGCAUGAGAUAGAUUCAAAGGCCUACUGCGAAAAACUCACUCAUGGAUUUGAUGAACCUACGGUGAUCAUUAGUUUCUUGGAGGACCCAAAUCUCAUACUAAAUUGAUGUUGGAUGCCUCAGUUAGAGAACAUGACUGCUAAUGACAAUGAGAUGCAAAAUGAAAGAGCUCAGUUCCAAUAAAAAGGAGUUCUUCAACUACAAUCUCAAGAUGCUGUAUUAGUUAAAAAUAAGAUAAUGACUCAACAACUUGAGGCCUUAAUGAAGAAACUCUCUCAAUUGCCUAAAGAGCUCCAAAAUGUGUCACAUGCCCAACAUAAAGAGUGUGAGUUGUGUGGUGGAGAACAUAUAAAUCGUUAGUGUGCCAUGCAAGCCAACUCCUAAGAAGAAGUGAACUAUAUGGGUAAUCAGGGCCGCCAAGGUAACUACAACCAAGGGUGGAGACCUCAUCCAAGCAUGGGCCAAGGGCAAGCUGGGCCAUCAAACAGACCACCACAACAACAAUAUCAACCACAUCCCUCUUUAUCUAACAAGACCUCGAAGUUGGAGGAAACACUCCAACAGUUCAUGCAAGUGUCCAUCUCCAAUCACAAAAGCAUUGAAGCUUCCUCUAGGAAUUUGGAGACACAGGUUGGGCAAUUGGGUAAGAAGUUAGAGGAGAAAUCUGACAAGAAUUUUGUGGCCAACACCGAAGUUAACCCUAAGGAGGAAUGUAAUGCCAUUAUGAUUAGAAGUGGCAAGAUGGUUGUGGAGAGAGGUGGAGAGAAAAGAUAAGAGAUUUGAUGAGGAGGAACAAACUCAUGGAGAAAAGGUUGAGGUUGAGAAGAUGAGAGGGAAAGAAGAGAGAAAAGGGAGUGAAAAUGAUGAGGGAGAAGACAGGAAAAAAAAAACAAAAAGGGAAGAGAAAGAUUGAAGCUCAUGAGAAGCCCCUUCUUUACCCUAAAGUCCACUCAAGGAAGGAGAAAGAGAAGCAAUUUGGAUGCUUCAUGGAUAUUUCGUACAAAAGAGGAAGAUGAAAAAAACACCACACAAAAUGUCUCCUUGAUUCACAAAUAGGACAUCCUGCCUCAGUUUUUUUGUUAUAAGGACUUUUUUGACGUUAUCUUUAGCAUUGAUAUGUUAUGCAUAUCAGUAUUAUAACUUAGGUUGGUGUGUAAGUAAAUUUUUACUUUUAUGAAGUUUGAAAAUAUUUAAUAAGUUAUUUUAACAUUAUUCAUUUUCAAUGUUUAAGAUAUUUACAUCAUAUAUUCUUUGAGAGGAAGAAUGAUCAUAUAUAUGGAUUUAUUGAUCCUGUUGUCAUCCAAGGAGUUGGGAAUAAAGGUGAAGAGAUGUAAAAGUACCCAUUAAAGGCCUUUGAAAAGGGAAAAUAAUAAGUCUACAUAACACCUUAUUUGCAAUUGUAAGUAGGAAUUUUUAUAAAUUAAAUUAUAUUUA